GACGAACGCUGGCGGCGUGCUUAACACAUGCAAGUCGAACGGAAAGGCCCUGCUUUUGUGGGGUGCUCGAGUGGCGAACGGGUGAGUAACACGUGAGUAACCUGCCCUUGACUUUGGGAUAACUUCAGGAAACUGGGGCUAAUAUCGGAUAGGAGCUCCUGCUGCAUGGUGGGGGUUGGAAAGUUUCGGCGGUUGGGGAUGGACUCGCGGCUUAUCAGCUUGUUGGUGGGGUAGUGGCUUACCAAGGCUUUGACGGGUAGCCGGCCUGAGAGGGUGACCGGCCACAUUGGGACUGAGAUACGGCCCAGACUGCUACGGGAGGCAGCAGUGGGGAAUAUGGCACAAUGGGCGGAAGCCUGAUGCAGCAACGCCGCGUGCGGGAUGACGGCCUUCGGGUUGUAAACCGCUUUCGCCUGUGACGAAGCGUGAGUGACGGUAAUGGGUAAAGAAGCACCGGCUAACUACGUG
This 468-nucleotide ribosomal RNA is filed under the name uncultured bacterium. RNAcentral describes it as "partial 16S ribosomal RNA". It matches the Rfam family "Bacterial small subunit ribosomal RNA", at positions 28 to 507 of the family's 1533-position model. The record is from RNAcentral.